CCUACGGGUGGCUGCAGUGGGGAAUAUUGGACAAUGGGGGCAACCCUGAUCCAGCCAUGCCGCGUGUGUGAAGAAGGCCCUCGGGUUGUAAAGCACUUUCAGUGAGGAAGAACGCCUGGUGGUUAAUACCCAUCAGGAAAGACAUCACUCACAGAAGAAGCACCGGCUAACUCCGUGCCAGCAGCCGCGGUAAUACGGAGGGUGCGAGCGUUAAUCGGGAUUACUGGGCGUAAAGCGCGCGUAGGUGGCUUGAUAAGCCGGUUGUGAAAGCCCCGGGCUCAACCUGGGAACGGCAUCCGGAACUGUCAAGCUAGAGUGCAGGAGAGGAAGGUAGAAUUCCCGGUGUAGCGGUGAAAUGCGUAGAGAUCGGGAGGAAUACCAGUGGCGAAGGCGGCCUUCUGGACUGACACUGACACUGAGGUGCGAAAGCGUGGGUAGCAAACAGGAUUAGAUACCCUAGUAGUC
RNAcentral lists this ribosomal RNA (465 nucleotides) under Vreelandella stevensii. RNAcentral's name for it is "partial 16S ribosomal RNA". It matches the Rfam family "Bacterial small subunit ribosomal RNA", at positions 338 to 795 of the family's 1533-position model. Lineage: Bacteria; Pseudomonadati; Pseudomonadota; Gammaproteobacteria; Oceanospirillales; Halomonadaceae. The record is from RNAcentral.